ACCCGAAGACGGUGCGCUAACCUCGCAAGAGGAGGCAGCCGGCCACGGUAGGGUCAGCGACUGGGGUGAAGUCGUAACAAGGUAGCCGUAGGUGAACCUGCAGAAGGAUCA
This 111-nucleotide ribosomal RNA is filed under the name uncultured eukaryote. RNAcentral's name for it is "partial small subunit ribosomal RNA". It matches the Rfam family "Bacterial small subunit ribosomal RNA", at positions 1419 to 1525 of the family's 1533-position model. The record is from RNAcentral.